GUUCUGGUUUUGAAUUCAGGCUGCAAGGUAAGGAUGCUACCAGGGAAUAUUUAUGUAGGAUUUUGGUAGAAUAAUGAUGUUGGUAGAUUGUAGAAGAUACAGAGCCACUUGUCAUCAGAAAGGUGCUCUCUCAGCAGAACGGAAAGUAUUUAACUGGUUAGGACAGCUCAUGAGGCUAUUAUCCAGAUACCUGUUGGUACCUCUUACAGCUCAUGAGGUGUCCUAAGUUUAUUGUUCAAUUAGCUUUUUGCUUUACGGUCAGGGACAGUAUGAGUGUAGCCAGAUCCUUUUCACUCUCUAUCCUUGUUUCAUUUUGUGGUUCACCGGAUUCGUCAUCAUCAUCGAGACAAACGACAGACAAACGUCCUGCUAGCUAGCCAAGCUAGUCGGUACAGCGAGCUCAUUGUUCUGCGUCACAAUGUCAACUUCUCUACUGUUAUCAAUGAGACCUGUCUGCAUCAACCAUGAACGCUGAUCGCAGUCCAAUCAAGCAGGAGAGACCAGCCUCCCCUGUUCCCAGCUGUGUGUCCAUGAAGAGUGACCGGUCUAUGCGUCUACCUAUAGAGUUUAG
Salmo salar (Atlantic salmon) is the source of this 571-nucleotide non-coding RNA. NCBI's taxonomy places the organism in Eukaryota, Metazoa, Chordata, Actinopteri, Salmoniformes, Salmonidae. The record is from RefSeq and is a predicted model, not a curated record.